Molecule: ribosomal RNA, 621 nt
Filed under: Pantoea dispersa
Lineage: Bacteria; Pseudomonadati; Pseudomonadota; Gammaproteobacteria; Enterobacterales; Erwiniaceae
Description: bacterial SSU rRNA
Rfam family: Bacterial small subunit ribosomal RNA
Source: RNAcentral
GCGUAAAGCGCACGCAGGCGGUCUGUUAAGUCAGAUGUGAAAUCCCCGGGCUUAACCUGGGAACUGCAUUUGAAACUGGCAGGCUUGAGUCUCGUAGAGGGGGGUAGAAUUCCAGGUGUAGCGGUGAAAUGCGUAGAGAUCUGGAGGAAUACCGGUGGCGAAGGCGGCCCCCUGGACGAAGACUGACGCUCAGGUGCGAAAGCGUGGGGAGCAAACAGGAUUAGAUACCCUGGUAGUCCACGCCGUAAACGAUGUCGACUUGGAGGUUGUGCCCUUGAGGCGUGGCUUCCGGAGCUAACGCGUUAAGUCGACCGCCUGGGGAGUACGGCCGCAAGGUUAAAACUCAAAUGAAUUGACGGGGGCCCGCACAAGCGGUGGAGCAUGUGGUUUAAUUCGAUGCAACGCGAAGAACCUUACCUGGCCUUGACAUCCAGAGAACUUAGCAGAGAUGCUUUGGUGCCUUCGGGAACUCUGAGACAGGUGCUGCAUGGCUGUCGUCAGCUCGUGUUGUGAAAUGUUGGGUUAAGUCCCGCAACGAGCGCAACCCUUAUGCUUUGUUGCCAGCGGUUCGGCCGGGAACUCACAGGAUACUGCCGGUGAUAAACCGGAGGAAGGUGGGGA